UUGUGGCAGUGUACAUCUAA
RNAcentral lists this microRNA (20 nucleotides) under Zea mays. RNAcentral's name for it is "microRNA miR-3118". Lineage: Eukaryota; Viridiplantae; Streptophyta; Magnoliopsida; Poales; Poaceae. The record is from RNAcentral.